Molecule: unclassified non-coding RNA, 383 nt
Filed under: soil metagenome
Description: partial contains 5.8S ribosomal RNA, internal transcribed spacer 2, and large subunit ribosomal RNA
Rfam family: 5.8S ribosomal RNA (bases 1-120)
Source: RNAcentral
GAUGAAGAACGUAGCGAAAUGCGAUAAGUAAUGUGAAUUGCAGAAUUCAGUGAAUCAUCGAAUUUUUGAACGCCCCUUGCGUUCCUUGGUAUUCCGAGGAGCAUGCCUGUUUGAGUGUCAUGAAAUUCUCAACCUGUCUGGCUUUUGCUAGUCAGGCUUGGAUUAUGGGAGCUGCUGGCUUUUGAAGUCGGCUCUUCUAAAAUGUAUUAGCAAGAUCAUUGCUGCUCAUCAUUGGUAUGAUAAUUAUCUAUAUCAUUGAGAGUCAGUUUCCUUUGUUCGAAGAUUUUGCUCCUAACGGUCUUUAGCAAGACAACAUUUGACGAUUUUGACCUCAAAUCAGGUAGGACUACCCGCUGAACUUAAGCAUAUCAAUAAGCGGAGGA